This 35-nucleotide ribosomal RNA is filed under the name Epizoanthus illoricatus. Its description in RNAcentral is "partial 28S ribosomal RNA". Lineage: Eukaryota; Metazoa; Cnidaria; Anthozoa; Zoantharia; Epizoanthidae. RNAcentral also lists the same sequence under 1 other name. The record is from RNAcentral.
UUCGAAAUGCAGCGAGACUCGGUUGCGUAGAUUCC